Molecule: transfer RNA, 65 nt
Filed under: Acroneuria hainana
Lineage: Eukaryota; Metazoa; Arthropoda; Insecta; Plecoptera; Perlidae
Description: tRNA-Pro
Source: RNAcentral
CAGAGAAUAGUUUAUUUAAAAUAUUAAUUUUGGGGAUUAAUGAUAGGGGUUAUCUCUUUCUCUGA